Non-coding RNA from Coturnix japonica (Japanese quail), 3347 nucleotides. The record is from RefSeq and is a predicted model, not a curated record. NCBI's taxonomy places the organism in Eukaryota, Metazoa, Chordata, Aves, Galliformes, Phasianidae.
UUCUCCUCCCUUCCAUGUGCCUGGAUUACUUCUUACCUUCCUGCGCCUGGUUUGCAUCCUUCUUAAAGGUGUAAUCAUACAGGUGUUGUUUUUCUCUCAGCCGGCCUGGCUGGAUAGAAGUAGUCGCAAUGAUCUCUGCUGGAGUUAAACACUCCAAAUGGUAAAGCUAGAGCAAUUUUAAGGUUGCAUGAUAAAGGAGCAAUUCUAGCAAUACAGUUCUGUUAUGUAGAUGUGCUGUUUACCCAUUGCCUCUGAAACGUUGCAGCAUUUCAGUCAUUUUCACUUCUUGAUUUCUUUCCCUUGACUUGGAUGUAUAUGGAGUGGAAAGUAAAGAAAGGCUGUAAUGUGGUGUUUGUUAUUGGAGCUCGGCUCCAUUUAGCGAUGUUUAACUGAAAAAUGUUAUGUUCCGACUGCAGAGAAGUGGAAGCUGUCAGCUCUCUGUAGGGCAGCAGGGCAGGCUGUGCUGUGCCUUGCAGCAUCCCUGCUUGUGGGCCAGGAGUGGGAACACGUGCACUGCCUUCACCAAACUCAAGCAACGUACUUCUUCAUGUCAUUGAACCUCUUGCUUUAAACUUACAAGGUUCGUGAAGGUGUGGGGUACCUUACAGACACCAUGUGUGCUCUAUGUGCCCUGGUUACAGUCCCAGCCACUCAGCAGGUCUGCAGUGGGCGGAACUCCCAGCGCUGUGCUCUGUGGGAUGCCCAGGGCAGGGCUGCUCCCAGGCACAAAGGCCCAACCCCUCUGGGAUGAAGCUCUGACCCAAGGCUCGUCUGACAGAGCAGCUUUUAAAGUGAAGGUUUAGAGAUGUAAUAGAGCUGCUUGUUUUGCACUACUGAAGCUCACAUUUGAAUCCAAAUCACAAUUGAGGAGAGCCUUGCUGCAGAACACCACGUGUGGCCCUGGCAUGAGAAGAGUGCUCAACAACAGCAAGACUUACCAUCCUGGGAUGGCUGCUCUGUGGGAAGCAGUUCAGUACGUUCAAAUGGGGAUGGUGAGAAGCACCUGGGGCUGAACUGCUCUGCACUGCAGCGAACCAGCACCCCAAAAGGUGCUUUAGUAACAGUUUAUUGUUUCAUAGAUCUUCUUCCCUUCACAGAUCUGUCCUUGAGAGGAAAUGUUCACUCUGUGCUCCUCUGAUGGUGUCUGUGACUUUGUUCAGUAUUGCUUUCCUGCAUCGUAGACUUAGUGACGAGUAGAGCUUCAAUAUUUGCAGACCCAACCACUUGCAAAGAAUAUGAGCGAUGGCAUUUCCCUUUUAAGGAGGAGCGCAUCAAGGUGCAAGGAGCAGUGGCUUGGUCCCAGUAAAGCAGCAGCAGAACUGGAACACAGUGUGUGACAUAACUGAGUGCCAUGGGUUCACUGUGCCUGGGAACAACGUGGGAGCUGCAAAGAGUCCUUUGUCCUCUCUGGUGUUGGAAAUAUCCUCAAUAAUUUUUGGUCAGGACGGUAUCUCUGAUAAAAAGCAGUUUUUAUUAAGCGAUUGCAAGGGCGGGCGCCCUGAUGGCAGAAGCACACCUAUGGACAUGAUGUUACAGUUUUUAUACCUUGUCUCCCAUACAUUUUCCCCUCCUGUUUCCCCUUUGAUUGGGUAUUCCAGGUUACACUUGUAAAUUCCCGCGUUAUCUUGUGUUAGUCAGUUGCCAUCCCUCUGGUUUUGUUGAUUUCCUUCAAAGCUUCUUUCAUUCUGUCCCAGAGACCGUCGUUAAACAAAAAGCCUGGGGGGGGGAGGUGAUUCCAGUCCUUCCCAUAUCUCUUCAGGCACAUCCUCAGGUAUGGCAUGACUUGUAGGUUUUACAGUGUAUACAACAAAACACUAAAACAUACAUUGUUACUAGUUUAGGCAUAUUAACAGGCAUAUUGUUAAUUAUUUUAACUUCUCCUCUUUGGAUCCUUUAUUACUCAGGACUUAUUUGUCCAGCACAAAAAAACAGUAGUUCUAUUUCAGACAGCUGGACAGACAGGAGCUGCAGUCUUUGUACCUAUGACUUCUACCUAAUAACUACAAAUUGCUUCACUUAUAUAAUGAGACCUUGAAAUAAAAUAUUCUUAUCUUAUUCUAAAUGCAGAAACAACAUUUGAUUCCCACACUGGUUCCUCUCUGAGAAGUCAGUAGUGUCUGGUGCCAUCCAGGCAGCAGGUAACCUGCAGGGAGCAAGUAUGGGAGCAAGAAAUGCUUUUUGUCUUUAGGGUGUUACUGUGUGCUGCGGGGUUCCUCUUUCUGAUGUGCAAAGUACUGAAGUUGUGUGUAAAGUCGCCAUUUAUCUGUACUUUUGUUCAGGAUGUUAAUGUAACUGAGAGGCUUCCUUAGGAGCUGUGUUGUUGACUGCCCUGUUUGAGCCGUGCUGAAUGCAGCAUCCAUCUACAGUGUGGCUGUCUUAGCAAAAUAAGACAUUGCUUCUAUCUGAAGAUUUCCUGCUGGAAAAUGAUUUCUUCAGGGUGACUUGUGGAACAAACUCUAUAACCACGCAGUAGUUUUAGAGCAGGAGAAAACGUCUCAGUGAUGUUUCCUGGGAACAACAUAUCUUCAUCACCAUCAGAACUCUAUGGCCGUUAUCUGAUCUUCAUUGGUACCAUUUUACUGAGGAGGUCAGAAUUUGACAUGUGGAGGUGGAGGGGAAAAAGAGAAGACUAGACUGGAAAUACUGACUGUGAAAUUACAGAGGAAACAGUAAGCUUGGGAAUGGCAUCUCCUCGUGAAUUUGUGCUACUGUCUUUAGAGACUGCAAGUCUGACUGCAGAAUGCAGAGUACCAUUGCACAAGCAGCCCUUGCUGCCAUGAGGAGCCCCAUGACUCUCCAGCCCAUUGCUGCCUUUCCCAGGAGGCACAAGCACAGCCCAUGCGCUGCUCACUGCUGUGAGAUGGACUUCACUGCACCAAAGCAAAGGUCGACCUCAGCAGUGCAGUGGGGUUGUUGCUCAAGUCAGACUUGAUUGUUAUUUCAGCCCUGAUUGUGGUGUUUGGUUGUUGUGCUCCCACCAGUGUAAUUAUACCCAAUUGUAAAGGCAUGCCUCAGUACAAGCUUUAAAUUAUGUAUUUCUGAGUUUUUCAGGAAGUGUUUCUCUCUUGCUGUGUCUGAGCAGAGGAAGGAGGCUGCAGGGGAUCAGUGAGGUGCAGGAGUGCCCAACAGAGAGCAUCUCCUUUGCAUUUCUGCCUCCUGUGAAACACAUAAUAGUUGAGGAAAAAUAGAGAAGUUGAGAAAAUCAGUCUUUGAUCCCCCAUUAGAAAGUCACCUUCUCAGAUAUCAGCUCUGGUCACUGGAGGAUUUGUACUGUGUGCUGAAUGGCAGCUGAAGUUCAGUUCUCCAUUUACAGAACAUUACAGAAACGCUUCUAUGUCUGUCCAAUA